UCGGCGCGGCCCCGCGGCGCCCACCCUUGCGGAGGGGAGGAGAGGGGACGGGCGUACCGACCCGGGCGGCCCUCGCCGCGGGGCUGCCGGCCUCGGGGCAGGCUGAAGUAUUAAGUUAACCUAAGCGAAUAAGCCCUAAUAAGGCCUGCUGGGAUCCAGCUGACUCCUCACAGGCUCUUUAAUCUGAACUCCACAAAAUGCCUCUGUUCGUUCUUCAUCCACAGAUUACCUCCCAAACCAUUAUUUGCUGAAGAUGGAUGUCACACCCAGCACAUGGAUGGUGUAUCCAGCCAUUCAGAAAGGUUGUUUAUCUUUAACUUUUCAUUUAACCAUAAAACCAUUUGACAAAUACAAACUCAUUAUAGCUAGCAGAGCUGAAUGGAGGUUUUUUUGCUUCAUUUUUCCUGAGUAACAUAUCUGAGCUCAUGCUGAUACAUGUCAGGAAUAAAACCAUUAUUACAGCAACGAAGCAGGGAGCAGCUAUGUUUUCAUGGAUAGGAUACUCUUCUAACUUAGGCUGAAAUAGAAUUGGGCCAAAUACAUCUUUUCUUAUUCACAGGAUUAGUCUUACAACUUCAAUAGAGUACCUGCAAGUCAGGUGAGCCCUCACACUUUCACUUUUGCUCACUGAUAAUAUGGUUGCUCUAGUCUGUUUUUGAUGGGUUGUAGCAUCGUUUUUCAGAAAACUGUAAACAGUGGACUGAAAGACAUUUCAUCAUGUGCAUAUUACUUUGUAAUUAUUAUUGUGUCAGCUAUAGAACUUGAGCUUCAUAUCCACAUACAUUUCCUAGAAACAACUUCAUCCGUAUGUGAAAGAUACACUACACACAGCAUCCCCAACAAUAAUGCAAGAGGGUAGUAAAACUGCAACAAACUCACUAAAAUAGUCCCACCAGUAGGUGACUGAAGAAUGGGAAACAAGAUCAUAGAUUGAGUCUUACAGUGUCACUACAGAGUAUGAGUCCUGAUGCGCAAGUCCCUCUCAGUCUAUGAUACUGUCCCUGUCCUUUGCUGUUCCUCAUUCCUUUUCUCCAGUCACGUUUGAUUGUCUCCAAACAUAAAACCAAAAAGAAAAAUUUAUGGUAAGUGAUAAAUAUAGCAAUGAGUGGAGGAAGGGUAAUGAAAGAUCAAAAUUGAAUUAACAAUGUUCAAGUCUAGAAAACAAAAGAAGGAUGAAAAUAAAGAAUGAAAAAUAGCAUAUUAGAAUUGUAAAUAACCUCCUAGGUCACUGAGUUCAGUCAUUGUAUACAGCCACAAAAUUUCCAUUCAUUAAAAAAUUACUUUAAUAUAAUGGGAGGGAUCCUGGAAACAAGCAAGAUAGGGUGUUUUUUGGCUAGGUAGGAUUGAAUUUUCGGUUGCACUGUCUUCAGUAACUAUAUGAGCUCUGUCUAUUGCUGCAUCAUCGAUCUAUGUAAAUAUCAGUUUGCCUUUUUCAUUUUCAAAUUGUAUGCACCUCUGCUGUACGUAGUGGAACUUAUAGGUGGCUAGGAGCAAAAGAAUAAAGUGAAGCCUUAAAAUGGUCUUUGCAUCUUCUGUUUGAUACUGUGGGAAGCCAGGGUGCCGCAUUUUAACAGUGUGUGAUAACUUUGACAUGUAGUUAAAGCUAGAAACAGAAAAGAAGUGCCUAAAACAGGGAAGACUUUAAAUAAUAACAUGUAAGAAUAAAGAGAAAAAGUAGUGAAGCAACUGACUUCAAAAAGAUUUAUAGCAAGAGAGGCAAUAC
This is a long non-coding RNA of Harpia harpyja (harpy eagle), 1723 nucleotides long. RefSeq lists it as uncharacterized. The transcript is spliced from 3 exons. NCBI's taxonomy places the organism in Eukaryota, Metazoa, Chordata, Aves, Accipitriformes, Accipitridae. The record is from RefSeq and is a predicted model, not a curated record.